UUCAGUGUUCUUUUCCACCGCAACAAUAACAUAUAGUUUCUGAACUAUUUGCUUUUAGAUUCUCAUUAUAUCGUGCUUGUGGCAGAGUGACCAACUUCAGGUUGUCAUAUCUCUCCUUUAAGCCAUUCCACAAGAUAGGUGCAUCUUUGAUUGUGAUAUAUUCAAUUUUCAAACCUUCAUCAAGGUGAUGGCGCAAGAAAAUCAAGGCCUUAGCACAGUUUCAAACCUUCAUCAAGGUGAUNNN
This 244-nucleotide long non-coding RNA is filed under the name Nicotiana benthamiana. RNAcentral describes it as "long non-coding RNA (NBEN_LNC021586)". Lineage: Eukaryota; Viridiplantae; Streptophyta; Magnoliopsida; Solanales; Solanaceae. The record is from RNAcentral.